RNAcentral lists this ribosomal RNA (399 nucleotides) under uncultured bacterium. RNAcentral's name for it is "bacterial SSU rRNA". It matches the Rfam family "Archaeal small subunit ribosomal RNA", at positions 339 to 741 of the family's 1478-position model. The record is from RNAcentral.
GCGCGAAAACUUUACAAUGCGGGAAACCGUGAUAAGGGAACCCCGAGUGCCCGUAGAAUCGGGCUGUUGAUCUGUGUAAAAAGCAGGUAGAGAAAGGGCCGGGCAAGACCGGUGCCAGCCGCCGCGGUAAUACCGGCGGCUCGAGUGGUGGCCACUAUUACUGGGCUUAAAGCGUUCGUAGCUGGGUUGUUAAGUCUCUUGGGAAAUCCACCGGCUCAACCGAUGGGCGACCAGGGGAAACUGGCAUUCUAGGGACCGGGAGAGGUGAGAGGUACUCCAGGGGUAGGAGUGAAAUCCUGUAAUCCUUGGGGGACCACCGGAUGGCGAAGGCAUCUCACCAGAACGGCUCCGACAGUGAGGAACGAAAGCUGGGGGAGCAAACCGGAUUAGAAACCCGAG